AACGAACGCUGGCGGCAUGCCUAACACAUGCAGUCGAACGAGACCUUCGGGUCUAGUGGCGCACGGGUGCGUUACGCGUGGGAACCUGCCCUUAGGUUCGGAAUAACCCCCCGAAAGGGGUGCUAAUACCGGAUAAUGUCUUCGGACCAAAGAUUUAUCGCCUUUGGAUGGGCCCGCGUUGGAUUAGCUAGUUGGUAGGGUAAAAGCCUACCAAGGCGACGAUCCAUAGCUGGUCUGAGAGGAUGAUCAGCCACACUGGGACUGAGACACGGCCCAGACUCCUACGGGAGGCAGCAGUGGGGAAUAUUGGACAAUGGGCGAAAGCCUGAUCCAGCAAUGCCGCGUGAGUGAUGAAGGCCUUAGGGUUGUAAAGCUCUUUUACCCGGGAUGAUAAUGACAGUACCGGGAGAAUAAGCUCCCGCUAACUCCGUG
RNAcentral lists this ribosomal RNA (432 nucleotides) under uncultured bacterium. RNAcentral's name for it is "partial 16S ribosomal RNA". It matches the Rfam family "Bacterial small subunit ribosomal RNA", at positions 29 to 507 of the family's 1533-position model. The record is from RNAcentral.